GACGAACGCUGGCGGCGUGCUUAACACAUGCAAGUCGAACGGUAAGGCCCUUCGGGGUACACGAGUGGCGAACGGGUGAGUAACACGUGGGUGAUCUGCCCUGCACUUCGGGAUAAGCCUGGGAAACUGGGUCUAAUACCGGAUAGGACCACUGCCUGCAUGGGUGGUGGUGGAAAGCUUUUGCGGUGUGGGAUGGGCCCGCGGCCUAUCAGCUUGUUGGUGGGGUGAUGGCCUACCAAGGCGACGACGGGUAGCCGGCCUGAGAGGGUGACCGGCCACACUGGGACUGAGUGACGGCCCAGACGGCUACGGGAGGCAGCAGUGGGGAAUAUUGCACAAUGGGCGCAAGCCUGAUGCAGCGACGCCGCGUGAGGGAUGACGGCCUUCGGGUUGUAAACCUCUUUCAGCACCGACGAAGCGCAAGUGACGGUAGGUGCAGAAGAAGGACCGGCCAACUACGUGCCAGCAGCCGCCGCAG
This 478-nucleotide ribosomal RNA is filed under the name uncultured bacterium. RNAcentral describes it as "partial 16S ribosomal RNA". It matches the Rfam family "Bacterial small subunit ribosomal RNA", at positions 28 to 523 of the family's 1533-position model. The record is from RNAcentral.